UAUAUGACUCUUGCAUCUGUAUCCUUGAA
This 29-nucleotide non-coding RNA is filed under the name Mus musculus (house mouse). The record is from RNAcentral. Lineage: Eukaryota; Metazoa; Chordata; Mammalia; Rodentia; Muridae.